RNAcentral lists this ribosomal RNA (425 nucleotides) under uncultured bacterium. RNAcentral's name for it is "bacterial SSU rRNA". It matches the Rfam family "Bacterial small subunit ribosomal RNA", at positions 359 to 776 of the family's 1533-position model. The record is from RNAcentral.
GAAUAUUGGACAAUGGGGGCAACCCUGAUCCAGCCAUGCCGCGUGUGUGAAGAAGGCUUUCGGGUUGUAAAGCACUUUAAGCAGGGAAGAAGGGCUUGUACCUAAUAAGUUCGAGCAUUGACAUUACCUGCAGAAUAAGCACCGGCUAACUCCGUGCCAGCCGCCGCGGUAAUACGGAGGGUGCAAGCGUUAAUCGGAAUUACUGGGCGUAAAGCGCAUGUAGGCGGCGAGGUCAGUUGGAUGUGAAAGCCCCGGGCUCAACCUGGGAACUGCAUUCAAUACUGCCUGGCUAGAGUAUGAGAGAGGAAGGUAGAAUUCCACGUGUAGCGGUGAAAUGCGUAGAUAUGUGGAGGAAUACCAGUGGCGAAGGCGGCCUUCUGGCUUAAUACUGACGCUGAGAUGCGAAGGCGAGGGGAGCAAACAGG